Molecule: ribosomal RNA, 800 nt
Filed under: uncultured bacterium
Lineage: Bacteria
Description: bacterial SSU rRNA
Rfam family: Bacterial small subunit ribosomal RNA
Source: RNAcentral
AGAGUUUGAUCCUGGCUCAGGAUGAACGCUGGCGGCGUGCUUAACACAUGCAAGUCGAACGGGAUCCUGCGGGCUUUGCCUGCGGGUGAGAGUGGCGAACGGGUGAGUAAUGCGUGACCAACCUGCCCCAUGCUCCGGAAUAGCUCCUGGAAACGGGUGGUAAUGCCGGAUGUUCCCGCGCCCCGCAUGGGGUGCGGGGAAAGCUUUUGCGGCGUGGGAUGGGGUCGCGUCCUAUCAGCUUGUUGGCGGGGUGAGGGCCCACCAAGGCUUCGACGGGUAGCCGGCCUGAGAGGGCGACCGGCCACAUUGGGACUGAGAUACGGCCCAGACUCCUACGGGAGGCAGCAGUGGGGAAUAUUGCACAAUGGGCGCAAGCCUGAUGCAGCGACGCCGCGUGCGGGAUGGAGGCCUUCGGGUUGUAAACCGCUUUUGUUUGGGAGCAAGCCCUUCGGGGUGAGUGUACCUUUCGAAUAAGCACCGGCUAACUACGUGCCAGCAGCCGCGGUAAUACGUAGGGUGCGAGCGUUAUCCGGAUUUAUUGGGCGUAAAGGGCUCGUAGGCGGUUCGUCGCGUCCGGUGUGAAAGUCCAUCGCCUAACGGUGGAUCUGCGCCGGGUACGGGCGGGCUGGAGUGCGGUAGGGGAGACUGGAAUUCCCGGUGUAACGGUGGAAUGUGUAGAUAUCGGGAAGAACACCAAUGGCGAAGGCAGGUCUCUGGGCCGUUACUGACGCUGAGGAGCGAAAGCGUGGGGAGCGAACAGGAUUAGAUACCCUGGUAGUCCACGCCGUAAACGGUGGAUG